RNAcentral lists this ribosomal RNA (252 nucleotides) under uncultured bacterium. Its description in RNAcentral is "partial 16S ribosomal RNA". It matches the Rfam family "Bacterial small subunit ribosomal RNA", at positions 524 to 776 of the family's 1533-position model. The record is from RNAcentral.
UACGUAGGCAGCGAGCGUUGUUCGGAGUUACUGGGCGUAAAGGGUGUGUAGGCGGUUCUUUAAGUUUGGUGUGAAAUCUCCCGGCUCAACCGGGAGGGUGCGCCGAAUACUGAGGGACUAGAGUGCGGGAGAGGAAAGUGGAAUUCCUGGUGUAGCGGUGAAAUGCGUAGAUAUCAGGAGGAACACCGGUGGUGUAGACGGCUUCUGGACCGUAACUGACGCUGAGACACGAAAGCGUGGGUAGCAAACAGG